GACAGAGGGUGCAAACGUUGUUCGGAAUUACUGGGCGUAAAGCGUGCGUAGACGGCUAUCUAAGUCGGGUGUGAAAGCCCCGGGCUCAACCUGGGAAUUGCAUUCGAGACUGAAUAGCUAGGGUACGGUAGAGGGAAGUGGAAUUUCCGGUGUAGCGGUGAAAUGCGUAGAUAUCGGAAGGAACAUCAGUGGCGAAAGCGACUUCCUGGACCAGUACCGACGUUCAGGCACGAAAGCGUGGGGAGCAAACGGG
This 253-nucleotide ribosomal RNA is filed under the name uncultured bacterium. Its description in RNAcentral is "partial 16S ribosomal RNA". It matches the Rfam family "Bacterial small subunit ribosomal RNA", at positions 524 to 776 of the family's 1533-position model. The record is from RNAcentral.